AAAAGCACUUUUCUGUCUCCCAG
This 23-nucleotide microRNA is filed under the name Homo sapiens (human). RNAcentral describes it as "hsa-miR-6835-3p". Lineage: Eukaryota; Metazoa; Chordata; Mammalia; Primates; Hominidae. The record is from miRBase by way of RNAcentral.